This 495-nucleotide ribosomal RNA is filed under the name uncultured bacterium. Its description in RNAcentral is "partial 16S ribosomal RNA". It matches the Rfam family "Bacterial small subunit ribosomal RNA", at positions 28 to 507 of the family's 1533-position model. The record is from RNAcentral.
GACGAACGCUGGCGGCGUGCCUAAUACAUGCAAGUAGAACGCUGAAGGAGGAGCUUGCUCUUCUGGAUGAGUUGCGAACGGGUGAGUAACGCGUAGGUAACCUGCCUGGUAGCGGGGGAUAACUAUUGGAAACGAUAGCUAAUACCGCAUAACAGUAGAUGUUGCAUGACAUUUGCUUAAAAGGUGCAAUUGCACCACUACCAGAUGGACCUGCGUUGUAUUAGCUAGUUGGUGGGGUAACGGCUCACCAAGGCGACGAUACAUAGCCGCCCGGAGAGGGGGGUCGGCCACCCUGGGACUGAGACCCGGCCCAGACUCCUACGGGAGGCAGCAGGAGGGCAUCUUCGGCAAGGGGCGGAAGUCUGACCGCGCAACGCCGCGGGAGUGUAGAAGGUCUUCGGGUCGGAAAGCUCGGUUGUCGGGGAAGAACGAGUGUGAGGGUGGAAAGUUCACACUGUGACGGUAUCUUACCAGAAAGGGCCGGCUAACUACGUG